UGCGUAGGCAGCGAGCGUUGUUCGGAGUUACUGGGCGUAAAGAGUGCGUAGGCGGUUUUCUAAGUUUGGUGUGAAAUCUCCCGGCUUAACUGGGAGGGUGCGCCGAAAACUGGAAGGCUUGAGUAUGGGAGAGGUAAGCGGAAUUCCUGGUGUAGCGGUGAAAUGCGUAGAUAUCAGGAGGAACACCUGCGGUGUAGACGGCUUACUGGACCAUAACUGACGCUGAGGCACGAAAGCGUGGGGAUCAAACAGG
This 253-nucleotide ribosomal RNA is filed under the name uncultured bacterium. RNAcentral describes it as "partial 16S ribosomal RNA". It matches the Rfam family "Bacterial small subunit ribosomal RNA", at positions 524 to 776 of the family's 1533-position model. The record is from RNAcentral.